UGGGGAAUCUUGCGCAAUGGGCGAAAGCCUGACGCAGCAACGCCGCGUGGGGAUGAAGGCCCUCGGGUUGUAAACCCCUUCAGUCAGGGAGCGAAUUGAAUCGUGACCUGCAGAAGAAGCCCCGCCAACUACGUGCCAGCAGCCGCGGUAAUACGUAGGGGCGAGCGUUGUCCGGAUUCAUUGGGCGUAAAGAGCUCGUAGGCGGUUUGGCAAGUCGGGUGUGAAAUCUCUGGGCUCAACUCAGAGAGGCCACUCGAUACUGCUAUGACUAGAGUCCGGUAGGGGACCAUGGAAUUCCUUGUGUAGCGGUGAAAUGCGCAGAUAUCAGGAGGAACACCGGUGGCGAAGGCGGUGGUCUGGGCCGGCACUGACGCUGAGGAGCGAAAGCGUGGGGAGCGAAACA
Molecule: ribosomal RNA, 403 nt
Filed under: uncultured Aciditerrimonas sp.
Lineage: Bacteria; Bacillati; Actinomycetota; Acidimicrobiia; Acidimicrobiales; Acidimicrobiaceae
Description: bacterial SSU rRNA
Rfam family: Bacterial small subunit ribosomal RNA
Source: RNAcentral